Molecule: ribosomal RNA, 470 nt
Filed under: uncultured fungus
Lineage: Eukaryota; Fungi
Description: eukaryotic LSU rRNA
Rfam family: 5.8S ribosomal RNA (bases 163-316)
Source: RNAcentral
CAUUACAGAGUUCCUGCCCUCACGGGUAGAAACCCCACCCUUGUGUAUACUAUAUUGUUGCUUUGGCAGGCCGCCUCCCGGCGUCGGCUCGCGCUGACCGUGCCUGCCAGAGGACCCUAAACUCUGCAAUACAGUGUCGUCUGAGUACUAUUUAAUAGUUAAAACUUUCAACAACGGAUCUCUUGGUUCUGGCAUCGAUGAAGAACGCAGCGAAAUGCGAUAAGUAAUGUGAAUUGCAGAAUUCAGUGAAUCAUCGAAUCUUUGAACGCACAUUGCGCCCCUUGGUAUUCCGAGGGGCAUGCCUGUUCGAGCGUCAUUUAUACCAACUCCUAUUCAUAUAGGGUCUUGGGCUUCGCCUCUAGGCGGGUCUUAAAACCAGUGGCGGUGCCUUGAGGCUCUACGCGUAGUAAUACUCCUCGCGAUAGGGUCCUUAGGGUGUCUGGCCAGCAACCCCCAACUUAUUCAGGUUG